Molecule: ribosomal RNA, 253 nt
Filed under: uncultured bacterium
Lineage: Bacteria
Description: partial 16S ribosomal RNA
Rfam family: Bacterial small subunit ribosomal RNA
Source: RNAcentral
UACGUAGGGCGCAAGCGUUAUCCGGAAUUAUUGGGCGUAAAGAGCUCGUAGGCGGUUUGUCGCGUCUGCCGUGAAAGUCCGGGGCUCAACUCCGGAUCUGCGGUGGGUACGGGCAGACUAGAGUGAUGUAGGGGAGACUGGAAUUCCUGGUGUAGCGGUGAAAUGCGCAGAUAUCAGGAGGAACACCGAUGGCGAAGGCAGGUCUCUGGGCCACUACUGACGCUGAGAAGCGAAAGCAUGGGGAGCGAACAGG